CCUGCCUAGAAGGGAGCUGGGCCAAAAGAUUGGGUUAAAAGGGGGUGGGAGGGGUAAUCCGUUUGAUCCAACUUCAAAUCCCACCACUGACUCCUUUGAACAAGGGCUAUCAAAGGAAGCCCUCUCCCAGCGAGCUGUGUGAAAUUGGAGACUCCACUUACCUUCUGCCUCUUAAAAUUAGGCAAGCCCUCCACACAGCAAGAGAGUUAUUACUUUCUUGCCUAUGGUGUUAUCGAGACUGAGAACCUCAGCCCAUUUUGUGGUCAUAAACCAGAAACUUCGAGAAAGUACCCAGUAUGUUUGCAGGUGGGACUUCUUGUAAAAGACACUUGGUAGCCAGUAGUCUGAAAGGCAGGACAAAGCAAAUCACGUAGGGUUCACUGAGUUCGGCAUCAGCCAGGGUCCACUGAGAUGUCCCUGCUCUUCAGCUUUAAGGACGAUCACUUCAAUUCUACUCAUGCUUAUGCCCGGCCCUGUGAAGAUCUGAAGUCCUCCUCAGGUACAUUCUUUCAGAGAUUAAGUGGGGGCUUUAUAAAUGCCUCACUAAGAAAACUUCUAUUCACAAGGCCCAAUGCGUCUCCUUCUACAUGGCCCUCAUUCAAUGAGAUCCCCUGAGACUGAAGUUCUUAGCCCAUAUCCUCCUAUUCCCCAAACUGCUGACUUCAUGGAUGAGUACAGCCUCUCCUCUCCUCCUACCCUGAGUUCAUCUCCUCAAAUGCCAAGAAGACUAUUUGAUGUUACUACCUCUGGAGCAGCCAAGG
This 761-nucleotide long non-coding RNA is filed under the name Cebus imitator (Panamanian white-faced capuchin). RNAcentral's name for it is "lncRNA (ENSCCAG00000038180.1)". The record is from RNAcentral. Lineage: Eukaryota; Metazoa; Chordata; Mammalia; Primates; Cebidae.